Molecule: long non-coding RNA, 585 nt
Organism: Drosophila kikkawai
Lineage: Eukaryota; Metazoa; Arthropoda; Insecta; Diptera; Drosophilidae
Source: RefSeq, a predicted model, not a curated record
CUCGCUUUAAAUUUCGCUUAUUCCUAGCAGAAUGAAGUUACUUUUCUCACAGAUUAUACUACUCUCUGUGCUGGUCACCGUCUUGGCUGGCACCCAUAUUCCUACUAAUACCCAUAACCACCAUCAAGGAGCGUCGAGCCAUAUAGAAGCUAAUCGACACGAGUGCAGAUGGAUAAAAGACAAAUAUAAGUGCAUAUAUCAAACUUGUACGGUUUCGUUAGACGGUAAAAAAAGCUGCACGACAAGGGAAGGUCCGCCUACUGCAGAGAUCAUAGCUAAUUCCCAGAGCCAGCUACGCUCCAGCCGUUACCAAUGCAGAUGGAUUGACGGCAGACUAAAAUGCAGGUACCAAAAUUGUACAUUAUCUGUGGACGGUAAAAGAAACUGCACUACCAGGGAAGGUCCACCACCUGCAGACAUAGAUCAGGAACGUUUCGCAGCUCAUACAACAAAAACCAAAUGCAACUGGAAGGCCGACAAUCUAAUAUGCACCAUCGAACGCUGCACUAUUUAUCCCAAUGGCAAAAAGAGUUGCUCAACGACAACGUCAUAAACUAAAUAAAGAAAUUUUAGUUUUUGAAAGGA